Molecule: ribosomal RNA, 476 nt
Filed under: uncultured bacterium
Lineage: Bacteria
Description: bacterial SSU rRNA
Rfam family: Bacterial small subunit ribosomal RNA
Source: RNAcentral
ACUCCUACGGGAGGCAGCAGUGGGGAAUAUUGCACAAUGGGCGCAAGCCUGAUGCAGCCAUGCCGCGUGUGUGAAGAAGGCCUUCGGGUUGUAAAUGCANCUUUCAUGUCGUGAGGAAGGAUAGUGUAGUUAAUAGCUGCAUUAUUUGACGUUAGCGACAGAAGAAGCACCGGCUAACUCCGUGCCAGCAGCCGCGGUAAUACGGAGGGUGCGAGCGUUAAUCGGAAUUACUGGGCGUAAAGCGCAUGCAGGUGGUUUGUUAAGUCAGAUGUGAAAGCCCGGGCUCAACCUCGGAAUUGCAUUUGAAACUGGCAGGCUAGAGUACUGUAGAGGGGGCUGAGAAUUAUCAGGUGUAGCGGUGAAAUGCGUAGAGAUCUGAAGGAAUACCGGUGGCGAAGGCGGCCCCCUGGACAGAUACUGACACUCAGAUGCGAAAGCGUGGGGAGCAAACAGGAUUAGAUACCCUGGUAGCUACG